UGACAGAGAGCGCUGGUAAGUGGACACAUAAUGACUCAUUCUGACUGACAUACAGCAUGUUACCGUAGACCUGACGGAGACUUGACCUGUUUUCAUAAACAAGUCACUGUCUCACUGGCAGGAGCUGGAAUGCAAUUAGUCCAGAUUAGUCACAGUGGCCUUAUGGCAGCCAGACGCAUCCUCUGAGCCCCGUCCUGAACCCCCACCUCCCCACUACCUCCAUCAGGACCGCAACACCUGUCUCCUAGCAACCUGCAUCUAGAUCUCAGGCAAGGGAUGCUGCCUGACACAAGAACGACAAGACACACAUUCUCUGGAUCAGCCAUCCAAGAGCUUGACGAUGUAAUGAUGCCAUGGGUGAGCAGAGGACAAAGCACUGGAAUGCUGGAUUUCAAUAAGCGCGCACUUGGAAUUCUGGGACUGGAAUUUUAUUCUUCUAUUAAUAAUGCAAAUGUGUUUGGAAGCUAGUUCAUAUUACUGCCACAGACAAAAAUGAAA
This is a long non-coding RNA of Cyprinus carpio (common carp), 498 nucleotides long. RefSeq lists it as uncharacterized. The transcript is spliced from 3 exons. Lineage: Eukaryota; Metazoa; Chordata; Actinopteri; Cypriniformes; Cyprinidae. The record is from RefSeq and is a predicted model, not a curated record.